GAUGAACGCUGGCGGCGUGCCUAAUACAUGCAAGUCGAGCGAACGGACGAGAAGCUUGCUUCUCUGAUGUUAGCGGCGGACGGGUGAGUAACACGUGGAUAACCUACCUAUAAGACUGGGAUAACUUCGGGAAACCGGAGCUAAUACCGGAUAAUAUUUUGAACCGCAUGGUUCAAAAGUUAAAGACGGUCUUGCUGUCACUUAUAGCUGGAUCCGCGCUGCAUUAGCUAGUUGGUAAGGUAACGGCUUACCAAGGCAACGAUGCAUAGCCGACCUGAGAGGGUGAUCGGCCACACGGGAACUGAGACACGGUCCAGACUCCUACGGGAGGCAGCAGUAGGGAAUCUUCCGCAAUGGGCGAAAGCCUGACGGAGCAACGCCGCGUGAGUGAUGAAGGUCUUCGGAUCGUAAAACUCUGUUAUUAGGGAAGAACAUAUGUGUAAGUAACUGUGCACAUCUUGACGGUACCUAAUCAGAAAGCCACGGCUAACUACGUG
RNAcentral lists this ribosomal RNA (497 nucleotides) under uncultured bacterium. Its description in RNAcentral is "partial 16S ribosomal RNA". It matches the Rfam family "Bacterial small subunit ribosomal RNA", at positions 28 to 507 of the family's 1533-position model. The record is from RNAcentral.